This 426-nucleotide ribosomal RNA is filed under the name uncultured Halomonas sp. RNAcentral describes it as "bacterial SSU rRNA". It matches the Rfam family "Bacterial small subunit ribosomal RNA", at positions 355 to 774 of the family's 1533-position model. The record is from RNAcentral. Lineage: Bacteria; Pseudomonadati; Pseudomonadota; Gammaproteobacteria; Oceanospirillales; Halomonadaceae.
UGAGGAAUAUUGGACAAUGGGCGAAAGCCUGAUCCAGCCAUGCCGCGUGUGUGAAGAAGGCCCUCGGGUUGUAAAGCACUUUCAGUGGGGAAGAAAGCCUUGGGAUUAAUACUCCCGAGGAAGGACAUCACCCACAGAAGAAGCACCGGCUAACUCCGUGCCAGCAGCCGCGGUAAUACGGAGGGUGCGAGCGUUAAUCGGAAUUACUGGGCGUAAAGCGCGCGUAGGCGGUCUGAUAAGCCGGUUGUGAAAGCCCCGGGCUCAACCUGGGAACGGCAUCCGGAACUGUCAUGCUAGAGUGCAGGAGAGGAAGGUAGAAUUCCCGGUGUAGCGGUGAAAUGCGUAGAGAUCGGGAGGAAUACCAGCGGCGAAGGCGGCCUUCUGGACUGACACUGACGCUGGGUGCGAAAGCGUGGGUAGCAAACA